GGUGGAGUGGCCGAGAGGUUAGGCAGAGGACUGCAAAUCCUGUUACGAUGGUUCGAACCCAUCCUCACACCU
This 72-nucleotide transfer RNA is filed under the name Mucilaginibacter sp. PPCGB 2223. Its description in RNAcentral is "tRNA-Cys". It matches the Rfam family "tRNA". From Rfam's summary of the family: Transfer RNA (tRNA) molecules are approximately 80 nucleotides in length. Their secondary structure includes four short double-helical elements and three loops (D, anti-codon, and T loops). Further hydrogen bonds mediate the characteristic L-shaped molecular structure. tRNAs have two regions of fundamental functional importance: the anti-codon, which is responsible for specific mRNA codon recognition, and the 3' end, to which the tRNAs corresponding amino acid is attached (by aminoacyl-tRNA synthetases). tRNAs cope with the degeneracy of the genetic code in two manners: having more than one tRNA (with a specific anti-codon) for a particular amino acid; and 'wobble' base-pairing, i.e. permitting non-standard base-pairing at the 3rd anti-codon position. Lineage: Bacteria; Pseudomonadati; Bacteroidota; Sphingobacteriia; Sphingobacteriales; Sphingobacteriaceae. The record is from RNAcentral.